GACUCGAUGGCGGAUGGUCCGCACCUGUUUUCUAUACUAGCUCAUAAAACAAUGAAGCAGGAGAAACCCAGUUCGAUUCUGGGUCGAGUCA
This is a non-coding RNA of Mycena haematopus, 91 nucleotides long. The record is from the annotation of a GenBank genome assembly. Lineage: Eukaryota; Fungi; Basidiomycota; Agaricomycetes; Agaricales; Mycenaceae.